AUACGUAGGUGGCAAGCGUUAUCCGGAAUUAUUGGGCGUAAAGAGUGAGCAGGCGGUUAAUUAAGUCUGAGGUUAAAGCGUGGGGCUCAACCCCAUAAAGCCUUGGAAACUGAUUGACUAGAGGACGGGAGAAGUGGAGGGAACUCCAUGGGUAGGGGUGAAAUGCGUAGAUAUAUGGAAGAACACCAGUGGCGAAGGCGCUUCACUAGCCCGAAACUGACGCUCAGUCACGAAAGCGUGGGUAGCAAAUAGGAUUAGAUACCCUAGUAGUCCACGCUGUAAACGAUGACAACUAAAGAUUGCCGCGAGGCAGUGUUGAAGCUAACGCAUUAAGUUGUCCGCCUGGGGAGUACGGUCGCAAGACUGAAACUUAAAGGAAUUGACGGGG
Molecule: ribosomal RNA, 388 nt
Filed under: uncultured bacterium
Lineage: Bacteria
Description: partial 16S ribosomal RNA
Rfam family: Bacterial small subunit ribosomal RNA
Source: RNAcentral